CGCCAGUUCGUUGCUACUCUGAGCUCCUGCAUCCUUCUUGAGUAUGUCCACGUAUAUUAGUGUAGGACAUCCUCUUGACCGAUGCCCAUGUGUUGGUUCCCACAGCACCAAUUUGCUGGCUGUCAGUUUCCAGUGCCUUUGGCAGUGCCCUGCUAGUCUCAUUCUCCUUACAGCAAUCUUCUCGCUCACCCUUGGUAUUCCCUCGUACAGUGCUCUGUUGGUUACAUGUGCGUUCUUGUUGAUGUUUAGCACAGCACGCAACAUCCUGGUGUAGCACCCAUCUAGGGAUUUCUCCAGGGUUGGCUUCAGUGUCCAGCAUUCACUGCCAUAGAGGAGAACGGACUCUACUGUCGCGUAGAAGAAGCUGAGUUUGAUUUGGCGGGGGAGGUUGGAGUUCCAUACACUGGUCAUGCCGUUCAGGGCUCUCCAUGCAAGUGCCUUCCUCACUUUUAGAUCUUGUUCAGUUGAGUUGACCCAUGAGCCCAGGUAUUUGAAGUCCUCAACUUCUUUCAGCACAGUGCUUCCUGCUGUCGUCAGAGGUUGAUGUUCUGGUGGAACGUUGUAGGUGAUGACCUCAGUUUUCUUGGCAUUUAGCUUAAGGCCAACCUUGGUGCACUCUAGCUCUACCCUGUUCAGCAGUUCUUGUGUUUGUUCCACGUUGUCGGAGAGCAGACUUAUGUCAUCCGUGUAGUCGAGGUCUGUGAGGACCACUGCAGGGUGUCGUCUCGACCUCCUUGGUGUUAGCGUGAAGCCAAGUUCCUGCUCUCGCCCAAUGAUUGCCUUCCUGAGCGCAUAAUCAAGGACUAUGAUGAAGAGGAAAGGGGCUAGUGUGUAUAUUUUUGUAAAGAUUAAUGGUGAAAUUUACCUGGGUUCUAAUCCUCCUGUUUUCUUUUUUUUUUUUUCCAGUGUCUCCCUCCGUGCCACACACCAGGGGCCUCAUGUAUCAACACUUGCGUGGAACUCAUACCAGAAACGAGCGCACGCAAGGUCCGUCACGCUGAAAAAAAUCCGUAUGUAUCAAUGUGUGCGGGCGCCGAAAUCCACGUGUGUUUCCUUGAUAAAUCCCAAUCAGCGUGGAAUUGAGCGCAGAUGUCGGAGUGACUGGGCCCGUCCCCGUUACGCCCUCCUAUAAAUAUGCAAAUUUAUUUAAAUAGGGUCUCCCUGUCCUCGCACGCAGACAAAAUGACAAGAAAAACUACAUUUACGGCGUGCGAGGUGGAGGUGCUGGUGGCGGAGGUGGAGGAGCGACAGCGUGUUUUGUUUGGCAGCCUGUCCAGUGGCGUCAGUGCAAAACAAAAACGCUUGGAGUGGGAGAAAGUUUGCGAGAGGGUGAAUGCGGUGGGUUCCGAGACACGCACCCCCGCGGAGAUUAAAAAAAAGUGGUCGGACCUCAAGGUGGAGGUCAAGCGGCGUACAGCUGCCCUCCGGAAGAGUACCGGCCAGACAGGUGGGGGUCCGGGGAGGAGACCCUCACACCGUUUGAGCAGCGGGUGGUGGCGAUUAUUAUUAUAGGGUAAGUGGCGUGUCACACAAAUGUCCACAUGCUUUGUCAUCCCACUGAGCAAAAGACGUAUAUUAGACGUCUAGUCUAAGUUUAUACUUCAUUUCAACGUCGGGAUUCAGUCUAUUUUUAGACGUGAUUUAUACUUCGCCCUUAACUUCAUUUUUCGAUAACUUUUUAUGCAAUAAACAACUGUAAUGUGCAUAACUGACCUCGAAAUACUGGAUUACAUUACCUAUGAUACCGUGGAGAGAGAUGUAAACGCAACAGAUACACAGAAGCAGGAAUUGAAAUGAACCAAUAUUUUUAUUGUGUCACAGAAAUCAAUGUGUCAGCCGUGUCGCCGGCUUGCGGAACCCUGGCCCGCGGCAGCCCGUCCGCCGGCUCGGAGUCGUCGGCCAGGACCAGCGGCAUUCGGGCCACCCCGGCCCCCGGCCCCAGCACCAGCAUCAGCACCAGCGCGCCGACAAGCGGUGGAGCGUCCACCAGCCGCGGCGCUUCCGCUGGACCACCCGGACGCAGUGGAAGGGUCCUCGCGGAGGGGGUCCUGCAAUCGCAGGAAGAAAUCAUCAGGGGGAUCGCGGGGAUCAACGAGCAGCUGGACCGGCUCGUAAAUUUCCUCGAGCGUCUGGUGGAGAAAAUAAAUUAAUUUGGCUCAUUGAACUGUGUAUUCACUUCUUACCCAUUCACACUGUGGCGAUGAGAUUCUCCCGCGCGAGGACGGCGGCCCGGCAGGGAUCAGCUCGCAUCCCUCCGUCUGCUGCUGGUUCGUCAUGUGGGGCGACGUGCUGCCCGGCCACGGGGAUGUGGUGCACGCUUGUCACAUAGUGAGUCACCAAACACCGCCACACAGCGUCGCCAAAGUGCGAAUCACAGUCAACGCAAAUAUCCAGCUCAACGCCAAUUUCUACACCACCUCCUGACUUUGCGUUGAUUAGCGCUGGAACCGACGCUCGUUUCGCGAUGAUAAAUCUGGACGUGUGCGCCGAUUUUGGCGUACGCAAGGUUUUCUUGCGCCGCAAGCGUUGAUACAUGAGGCCCCAGCUCUUUUAGAACAGCACCCUCUCUCGCUCUUUUAGUUUAUUCUGGACUCCAGACUACCUUUGUUUCUGCACAUUCUCCCACAAUAAAACCUGUGAAAACCUUCUUCCUGUCUGGCUGCUUUUGGGUUCAGAACCCCAACCCGUCACAUGGUCUGUUUAAAUGUCAACUGCUGUACUGAUAACAGAUUGUGUUUUAAGCUAAGGGUGACAUCCACAAGUCCCAAAUUACAUCUGACAAGGGUGCUGGACUGAAUUUGGUGGGUUCUGCCUGCAUUAGUGACAGAUCAUUUGAUGGAUUAACCUUUUAGAAAGCUGCAGACCUCAAGGGGUAUUAGCAGAGUCAUGACCAAAAACAAGAGAUUUGUGACCGGCAUACGACAAUGUGCGAAUGACGCAGCACUCCAAGUCUAUUGUGUUUAAGUGAGUCAACUUUUUCACCCUAAUAGCUCUGACACUGAGCUAGCAUGAAAUGUGAGAGGUGGUCUGUCAAAACAGACAUAAUGUGGUGUAACUAGUGGAGGGGGUCACUCCAGGAUACAGACCUGGUUUUGUAACAGAGACAUUUUCCAGGAAGAAAAAGUCCAAUUCAGACCACCCUAGAGCUGCAUGUGUGAUAUUAAAAGGAUAUUAGAAUUGAUAAUUUCUGCUAUUUUAGGCCUCAGAUAGGAGUCCUAAAGCAUGAAAACAAGAGUCCAAAUCUGUUCAUAGAGAGAUUUUCAAACAUGAAAUUUUACCCUAAGACCCAUGCUGAUAUGACCUGAUAUCAAGUUUAACAGAGAAGUGUUUUUACUUAGGGUGGUAACACACAAAGACAUUGACAACAAAAACUUGUAUGUGCAAAAAAUAUCGGGGCUGGGUAUUGGCAAGGACAUCACAAUUAAUAGAAGGAAUUAUUCUUAUUGUUAAUCAUGAGUUUACUGUGAGGCGCUAGUUGCCUAAAAAUAAAGGAAAACCACACAAGUAGGGUCUCGAUGAAGUGGAAGAGAAUCUGAUCCACAUGCAACAUAGUGCUUGUGUUCAGCACAAUACCGAGCUGUACUGCAAACCACUCAAGCACAGUGAGCUUUCACUCAACGUACCUCCCAUAGGGUUAGAGCUCUGCACAGUACAAGGUUGUCUCAGCUGUUAACCUCCUCCUCUUUCCUCUCUCUCCUCCUCUUUUUCCCAUGCUCUAUUGUGUCUAGGCUGACAACUGCCCCAACAGGCCUGUGGGUGGGAGGCUCAGCAGGCGAGUAUCUGAGCGUACAUCCUCUGACACUCAAGUCAAAUGUCUUGUGUUUGGAAUCUGCUGCCGGCUCCCCAGAGAGCCAGCCUGCCCCAAACACAUCUUGCAUAAAAUAGCCAAACUGAACUGGGGUAAGGAUGACAGAUGGAGGGACAGAGGAGAGAUGGUGGAGACAUGAGGAAAAUGAGUCAAAAUUUCUUCUUUCUGUCAAAAUAAUAAAUAAAACACACACUUAAAGCUAAUAUGCAAGGCGGUCUGAUAACCUCAGAUGAGAAAUCACUUUAAAUGUGGGUCUUUUUAUUCCACCAGAAAGGGCUGAAAAUCUCCUGAGCCCUUAAAUCUCUGGAUUACUCCCAUCGUUCUAAUUUAGACGUAGCCUCAAGCAAAGAGCAGGCUAAUUUCCUUGUGUCAAAAUUAAUGAAGAAGAUAAUUUGCUACAACGGAGGAAAAAGCACAUGCAUUGCAUGAGCACAUGCCCAAUUCACACAAGCAGGAACUCUCAGACUAUCCUUUAAAUGAACCCCAAAUGGGGCCAGAGAGUGAAGAGAGCUUCCUGCAGCUGAAACAGAAACUAGGUUAGUGCAUCAGCAGUGAAACAUGUGGGAUUUGACACUCCUCUACAAAAAGGUCUUGGAUCUCAGCGUGCAAAAAGCAGCUGUAAUCAGUUCAUGAGAAAUUCUGCAAACGGCAGCUUAGACUUUUAUUUUACCACUUGAAACCUAAUGUUCCCCUUAUUUCUGUCAAAUUUACCCCUAAGUGGUUUCAAAGUAAGAUGAAACACACUGUUCUGCAACACUGAAGUUUCAUUUAGACUAUAUCACGCCAACGCAGGGGGAACUGGGAUAGAAAAUAAAAACCUCAGAACAUAUGAAUAUGAAAACCUGUGUUUGAAAUUGGAGGAGAAUGGAUUGAUGCAUUAUUCCUUUGCCUGACAGUAGUUAGUAAUAGUGAAACUGAGAAUGGCUCGGUGGUAUUUAAGACUAAAAUUACCAAUAAAAUUAAAAAGUCAUGAUGCUGAGGGGAUGUUUGUUUCGCAUGGUAGAUUAAUCUAAAACUAUUCAAUUAUGUCUUCUUUCUUAUUUUAUCAUCUAAAAGUGGGCUUGGUCCUGUACACUGUGUGACCAAUGCACUGGUUUAAAGCGCAGAGCUGGGUGUGCUACCAGAGCGUGCUACCAGACACAGUGUUAUAGACCAGGCUUGCAGCGCCACCUCUCGACAGCUUUGCUGCUUGAUAAGGUUAGACCUGAUCAGACCUGGUUUUUGUUGGCCCAAGGCACAGCCCUGUCCUCUCCAACCACAUCCUCAUAAAGUUAAUUUGUUAUUGACAGAGCUUGGGUACUGGUCAUGAAAAUGAUGACUACGUCAAUGACACCUCCACAGUUUAAAAGCUGCUGAAACACUUUGUGUCUGUUGCGCAAUAGGGGCCUCUGUUUUAGCAUCAUCCACAGUAAUAGCUAACACUUUAGUUCUCACAAAAUAAACUGACUUUGUUUUUGUUUACGGCACUCAAUUUUACAUCAACUGCAUGAACCAGAGUCGCAGCAAAGUCUGUUCUUUGGCCUUGUUAGUGUCAUUGUCCACAAAUCCUUUUUUGAAAUCAGUGUUUUGACAGUGUUCUGUGAAGUGUUCCUCACUGUCCGUCAUGGGAAAAGGCGAUCCCUCGGUGACAGAGCCUUCAGUGUGGCUGCCCCUCCUCUCUGGAACUCUCUCCCCUCUGAGAUUCGCCAAGCACAGACUCUUGACUCUUUCAAGUCUGCUCUGAAGCGACACUUGUUUAUCCAGGCUUUUGGUAUCUAGUUAUUUUUAUCGUAGUGUGUUGUUAAGCGCUUUGGGUAUCUUGAAAGUCGCUAUACAAAUGCAAAAAAUGAUUAUUAUUAUUAUUAUUAAGUGUUUACUUUAUACACGAGUAAACCAAUAUACAAAGACCAAUAUACAAAAUACACAGAUUUGGUAUGUUUGCCUUUCAUAGCCAGUUUUUGUCUUUAAAUUCUGGAUUUUCUCUGCUUUUGCUGUCAUAGGAAGACAUCUGCUAAUAAAAUACUGAAAUGACAUUUCCUCCCAAUAUUUCCCUAUAUCCUUGGGCUUGAGUAAUCUCUAUUUUGCCAGCCUUAUUCCUCCCCAUCCAUACCUCCUAUUCAUAACUACAAAAGAAAUUGAGUAGAGAGAAAUGAAAUGCUUCAUUUAGGUUGAUCAGAUCUGUCCAUUUCUUUCAAACGGCAGGGCAAACUACUUUCUUUGUAUGUGCUCACUCUAAGAUUUUGCUGCAGGCUUACAAGACAUGAAUAUCUCCUUCACAGUUCCCAUGCAUCAGAUUGAAAGAAAAGUGGAGCACUCACAUCCAAGACCAACCUUUCUGGAGGCUAAUAAAAGAAAAGACAUUCAUCUGGGAAUGUAUUCACAUUGUAAAUGGGGAGUAAUGAGGUGGGAAACGAAGACCAUGGAUGGAUGAACUUUGUGUCGAGAGGCUGGGUAUCAGUACCAGGGAACAGGUUGGAGCGGAAGGAAGGAUACGGGUGAGUAUGAUGGUUGAUGGAUAGAUGUAGAAAGUGAGGCGUGGAGGGGGAGCAGAGGGGCUCUAUCUGCCUGCUGCCUCUCCCUAUAGGAACAGCUGUCUCCCAGACUGCAACAGAUGUAGAUUCACAGAGGGGAAAGACAUGAUCUGACAACUCCCCUGGACUUUCCUGCAC
This 6456-nucleotide long non-coding RNA is filed under the name Xyrichtys novacula (pearly razorfish). Lineage: Eukaryota; Metazoa; Chordata; Actinopteri; Labriformes; Labridae. The record is from RNAcentral.